UCCUGGUGAGCUCAGUUGGUAGAGCGCUCCACUGGAAAUGGCGUGUUUCCUGGUUCGAUACUAGGACAAGGCG
This 73-nucleotide transfer RNA is filed under the name Ixodes scapularis (black-legged tick). RNAcentral describes it as "tRNA-Ser for anticodon GGA". It matches the Rfam family "tRNA". From Rfam's summary of the family: Transfer RNA (tRNA) molecules are approximately 80 nucleotides in length. Their secondary structure includes four short double-helical elements and three loops (D, anti-codon, and T loops). Lineage: Eukaryota; Metazoa; Arthropoda; Arachnida; Ixodida; Ixodidae. The record is from Rfam by way of RNAcentral.